GAUGAAGAACGCAGCGAAAUGCGAUAAGUAAUGUGAAUUGCAGAAUUCCGUGAAUCAUCGAAUCUUUGAACGCACAUUGCGCCCCCAGGCAUUCCGGGGGGCAUGCCUGUCCGAGCGUCAUUUCUGCCCUCCAGCCCGGCUGGGUGUUGGGCGCUGUCCCCCCGGGGACACGCCCCAAAGGCAGUGGCGGCGCCGCGUCGGGUCCUCGAGCGUAUGGGGCUUUGUCACCCGCUCGGGACGGACUCGUCGGCGCUGGUCUUCCUCCAGGCGACCCUUCGGGGCUCGUCUUCCUUCGGUUGACCUCGGAUCAGGUAGGGUUACCCGCUGAACUUAAGCAUAUCAAUAAGCGGAGGA
This 354-nucleotide unclassified non-coding RNA is filed under the name soil metagenome. RNAcentral's name for it is "partial contains 5.8S ribosomal RNA, internal transcribed spacer 2, and large subunit ribosomal RNA". The stretch from base 1 to 120 matches the Rfam family "5.8S ribosomal RNA", at positions 35 to 154 of the family's 154-position model. The record is from RNAcentral.